Molecule: ribosomal RNA, 45 nt
Filed under: Brasilonema burkei HA4348-LM4
Lineage: Bacteria; Bacillati; Cyanobacteriota; Cyanophyceae; Nostocales; Scytonemataceae
Description: partial 23S ribosomal RNA
Source: RNAcentral
AGUCAAGCAACGAAAGGCAAAUGGUCGAUACCUAGGCACACAGAG